Molecule: long non-coding RNA, 1237 nt
Organism: Prunus avium (sweet cherry)
Lineage: Eukaryota; Viridiplantae; Streptophyta; Magnoliopsida; Rosales; Rosaceae
Source: RefSeq, a predicted model, not a curated record
UUGAAUCUCACCAGAAACACCUACUGUCGUUGGAGGACCAGGAACAAGGAAGAGAUGUGAUUCACCACCACCACCACUCUGUCUGUCUGUCUGUCUGUCUGUCUGUCUGUCUUUCUCUUUCCCCCCACGAGCCUCCUCUCCCACCAAAAACUUCUCAAGACAUCCACUACCUCCUCUCCCAGCUAGAUAGAUCCCAUCACAAAAGCAGAAUUAGCAAUGAAGAGGAAGGAAAUUGGAGAACAAGAAAGGAAGAUGGAGUCGACCAUGAAAUCAGUUGGCUGGAAGUAGAUGAAAGGGACACCUGAGAUAUUUCGUCAGAAUGCCCCACCUAUGAAUUUCUUUCCAUUUCUGGAAAAUUCAAGGAAUGUGCCAACAACUCUUAGGGACUUUAAAUCCAUGGAUUUGUUCCCUCAACAAGCUGGUUUUGGCUCCUCUGUUCCCAUAGAAGAGGUUCCGUAGAUCCAAUUUCUGUAAAUUUAAAGGCAUUGUUGCAGCAAAUGAUUUUGUUCAGUUUAUUGCACAUGGGCAAUGUGAAGAAAUCUUCCCCAGGAGAGCCUCAAAAGGCACAAAUGACCGUAUUCUAUGGCGGACAAGUAAAUAGUGUUCAACAGAAUAAUUGACAGAGAGAGGAAUCGGGUGAGUUGCAGGGAUGGACAGACUUUUAAGUAUGCGAACGGGAAUGGGAAUGUAAGUAGCAGAAAAGAAUGCUCAGUUGGCAGGGCCCCUUGUGAAUGUGAAGCAUGAGGAUGGUGAUGACUGAUGAACAAUUGCAAGUAGGCGUUACUUUUCCUUUCUAUUAUAAUUAUUUGCUUCUAUAAUUUUAUAAAUGCUCUCUGCUUAGAUGUGUUUGUGGGUGAGAAAUACCCAUUGUUCUUCAUGUUCAGCCACUCAAAAGGAGUGAGGCUUGGGAUCUAUUUUGCAUGAAAGCUUUCUCUAGCUGUUCAAAUAGAUUUUACCCACCACCAGAGCUUUGAACUCAAAGCCAGGGAUCUUGCUGGAAAACUCUAGGCAUUGUAGCUUUGGGUGCUCUCAUGUCAACCAAAAAUUGGCUAAGCUUCAAUGAUUUACCCUACCAUCUUAAGCUUGGUUGCAUUUUUCCGGAAGAUUAUUUGAUUCGGUGUAAAAGCGCUUAUUCGACUUUGGAUAGCAGAGGGGUUUGUGGAACAAGUUAGAGGGGCUAAGGGAGUGUCUUUGGAGCUGUUACAUGAGCAAGGACUUCCCUCUUCUUUUACAUAUU